Long non-coding RNA from Aquila chrysaetos chrysaetos, 3745 nucleotides. RefSeq lists it as uncharacterized. The transcript is spliced from 2 exons. The record is from RefSeq and is a predicted model, not a curated record. NCBI's taxonomy places the organism in Eukaryota, Metazoa, Chordata, Aves, Accipitriformes, Accipitridae.
GUCCCGGUCCCGUCCCUCCGCGCUGGGGGCAGGCUCCGCCGCCGUGGCUUUCACCGCCGGCUGGGAGAGGCCCUGCUGCGGCUCGGGGUUCCGCUGCUGCAGAAACACGGCGUGGGACGGGGACGGGUGUUGGUCGUGUGAACCGGGGGGAGAGUAACGGCUGCCGCGGGGGUGUUGCUGCACGCUGCAACCCGGAGCCGAGGGAUCUCGGGGACCCCGCGGCCCCGGGGUAACGGAGCGGGCGGCCGCGGGUGGUUUUGGUCCGCAGGGGAAGGCGCGGGAAGGGACUCGGUGCGUGUCCCGGGGAAAUAAACCCGUCCUGGGGAAACCCCCUCCCGUGUCCUGAGCCCGGCGGGACCCCCGGUCCGAGGAGGUUUGAUUGAUCUCUAGCUGGUGGGAUGUCGCUCACUGACGUCCUCCGUGUUUGUCCCCUAAUUCCUAGGGCCGGCGAGACACGAGGGUCCAACCCCCGGGUGUUAAAUUCACGCGAGCUACACGCAUUUCAAAGGCAGCUUGCGCUGCCCGUGACCCGUCGAAUUCACAGCGGCCCUUGGUCGCUGCCUUUUUUAUUCAUAACAAGCCUCUCCCGGCCUUUUCUCCGGGACAGCGAGCACGCCGCUCCGCUUCUCCGCAGAAAGGUCCCUCUGGAAGCCCCGGCGUGUCCCGUAGCCCCCGGGAGACAUCGGCGCAAACCCCGCAGGAGAGCCGGCAGCGUGGCCGGGCGCUGAAGACGUAGUUCCCAGCUGACGGUGCGUGGAGAAGGAUGAAAAGCUGAUUUCACAGCGGAGCUGUAAGAAGGAAAGAAGAGGCUGCGAGGCAAACAGGAGCUCAGCGCUCCAUUUGGAAGGGCAACAACGUCAAGGGUCAGGCGGAUCCGCAGAGGGAGCCUCAGGCUGUCAGGGAUGCUCCGCUGAGACCACCUCGGCUCUCCGCGUCCCUCGGUAUCCAACCUCUUGGCUCAGAGAGCACCCCCGCGUGCCGCAGCCUCGGGGAUCGCCGGCGUGUGCCGCAUCCCAACGACAUUGAAGAAUUUGGCCGGUAAAAUUCCGAAAGGAAGUUUAUAUAUAACUCCAGAAGAGCUGGCCGCUGGCCUGGCUGCCUGGCUGAAUACGCGGCGGGGAUGCGCCAGUACCUGAGCUGCAAUAACACAAGCUGCGUCCUCUACUCCGUAUAGCCCAGUCCCCUAUUUGCGGGGGGGUCACAAGCAUGGCUUGGGGGCCGCACAGCUCCCAUGGGUUCGGGCCGCCUUCCCCGCCAGCCAGGCUCGCACCUUUACCCUCGCUAGGAGCGGGUCCUCGGCUGGGGAGCGCAGCCCGUUGCUGGUUGAGGAAGGCGGCUGCAGCCGGAGGACGUGCAGCCCAGCGGGGUCCCCGUCCUGUCCCCCAGCCGGAGCGCAGCGUUCCUGCCGCUCGGUCCCUUCGGGACGCUGCUCCGCUUGCCACGUGAGCGGGAAGGAGCCUGCGGUGGCCGAGAGCCAGACUGGCCCCAGAGCUGCCGGGCAGGAGGGAGCGGGGCGAGUCUCACCGUCCACGCUCGCUCGGUGGCCAGCCAGGCCAAACCUCGGCAAUGUUUUAAAUGCUAGAAAAUAAAUGCGUGGGUGAGGGGGGAGAAAGGGAAGUGUCCGUGCAGCCUUUCUGCAUCAGCCGUAGGGACAAAUCGCCUUGGCUGGUCAGCUCUCAAACACCCAUCCUUCACGUGAAGGGAAGCUGAGUGUGCGCCAACUCCAGCUGAUGUAAACAGACGAGCCGCGUCUAACAAGCUCCGCGUGCCCCACUCCUCUGCUGGACCCAUCUUCCCCUGCUCUGUCUAGUGUCUACGGCACUGGGAUAUCCUGCUCCUCAGCUCCAGGGACUUGCUGAGAAGCAGCCAAGAAGUCGCUACGUUUCUGCAGCGCAAUUCACCGGGAAGUAAUCCAGCUUUGCUUUCCCCAAAUUCAACGAUAGCACCUAACCGUCAUCCCCAAGCCUGCUUCUCCGCCUCAUCCUUCACCCCAGAUGUGUCCCCGGGCCUGCCCGGGCCAUGCCAAGCGGCUCCGGGUGCUGCCUCCCAGCCCUGUGCUGGCCCCGUGCAGGCUCCGAGGAAGCAGUCUCCCGGGAAACUCCUCUGCCGAGCAGUGAUUUGGGCAGGAGCUCCCCUGCCCCGUGUACAACAGCAUACUUAUUUCUCCCUGACUGAAGCGUGGCUUGCAUAUUUAUCACAGAUGCCUGGCUGCUUUGAUGCUGGCCUGGAGGUUCAAAGAUGCUUUGAUGGUGGUCGGUAACCUCUCUGAGCAUCUCUGGGUCUUGCUUGGCCCCGAAUAUCCCCACUUCUGCCAGUCUGGCAACCUCACCCGGUGUCCUGACCUUCACUUUGGAAACAGCUUUAAUUCAGUGGCCUGGAGCGAGGGGUGUGCGUGGCGGGGGGAGCACAAAGCAGCCGAUGUGACUGAUACAGCCCUUAGCUCCACCGUCCUGUUCGGAUGGUAGCUCAGCCCCUUUCUCAGGUUCCACUGGCCUAAUUUUGUCUGGCACUGCGGACAGGAGGUCACCGUUGUAUGUGUUUCCUACGGUUUUACUCUAGUCUGGUCCCGAGGACUGAACACCCAUCAGCGGCUGCAGCACGCUCCUGAUCGCAUCUCUUUUCUCUGCAUCCAGGGGCUGUGCCGACCUUGUAGUCAGCUCGGAGCAGGAGCGUGCUUCCAAAGGGAAUCUUCUCCUCCCCCCAGCACAUCCAGAGCAGCUUGCUCGCUGCCGGCCAGUGCCGGUCACGCUGUUCCCUGGUGAGGUACUCUCCCGCAAAGACGUGGAAGCCCAAAUGCCAGUCCCAGUUUGCAGCCCCAGCGGUGAGUGGGGCCGAGGGCAGGCUGCCAGCAAGUCCCUGUCACCCUGCCAUGCCAUGUGCCUCCCAACCCCAGCAGACACCUAUUAGUGGCACAUUGUGGCCAUCACAAAGGACUCGAGUACUUUUAAAACUAAACACCCAAACCUUUUAUUCUACUACCCCACAUACUGGCAUUUCAACUCGCUUUAGCUCAGAACCAGAAGAAAGCACCCGUUCCUGCAGGUUUCUCCCGGAGAGACCUCCUCCAACAUCUCCUUCUUUAACCCAGCUUUUAACCUCUCCUUGCUCCGGAUUUUUAACCGCAGAGCUCGCGCCCCUGCUCUGGGGAAAGGGGCCAUGCACGAAAGCACGACACGGAGCCGGCGCAGCAGACUCUCCACUCCUCCUGCCAGGGCAAGGGGAUGAGAACACACCGAGUGCUCACGGACAGUCCCAUAGGCUUUUUCUAUCAUCUGCGGCCGUGUCAUCCAGAGAGAUGGAAGAUACUCCCUGGCUCUGAGAUAAAUGCGCUUGAACCCUUCUAGCAAAGCAUAUGAACGAUCAGCGUGAAGAGUGAAUGCAUUCACACUAAUAAGUAAUUUUCAACCUACGUAAUAAAACAGCAGACACUAACGAGUUCCAUUACAUCUCCAUUAAAAAGUGCUUUGGCUUAGCAGGACUCCAUGGCCCAGGGGCUCGGGCUCGGCGGUUUGAUGUUGCAGCCCAGCCGAAGGCACCGUGCUGCUCAGGGCACUCAUGCCAUGCGUGGGGUAGAAACCAGCUCCCAUCAGCUCUGCGGAGCCGCUGGCCCCUCGCCGCUUCCACCCAUCUUCUGCCCACUGGGAAGUGGUGCUGCAAACAUGUUUGUGUCGAGAGCGCGCCGCAUGGAUUUGCCUGGUAUUAAGAAGUUAGAUUUAAAUGAGAGUAAAUAUCCUGUAAUUAAAAA